AUUGAACGCUGGCGGCAGGCUUAACACAUGCAAGUCGAGCGAGCGGCGGACGGGUGAGUAAUGUAUGGGAAACUGCCCGAUAGAGGGGGAUAACUACUGGAAACGGUGGCUAAUACCGCAUACUAUCGGAUGUACCCAUAUGGGAUUAGCUAGUAGGUGGGGUAAUGGCUCACCUAGGCGACGAUCCCUAGCUGGUCUGAGAGGAUGACCAGCCACACUGGGACUGAGACACGGCCCAGACUCCUACGGGAGGCAGCAGUGGGGAAUAUUGCACAAUGGGCGCAAGCCUGAUGCAGCCAUGCCGCGUGUAUGAAGAAGGCCUUAGGGUUGUAAAGUACUUUCAGCGGGGAGGCGUUACCCGCAGAAGAAGCACCGGCUAACUCCGUGCCAGCAGCCGCGGUAAUAC
This 406-nucleotide ribosomal RNA is filed under the name uncultured bacterium. Its description in RNAcentral is "partial 16S ribosomal RNA". It matches the Rfam family "Bacterial small subunit ribosomal RNA", at positions 30 to 526 of the family's 1533-position model. The record is from RNAcentral.